This is a non-coding RNA of Equus caballus (horse), 6887 nucleotides long. Lineage: Eukaryota; Metazoa; Chordata; Mammalia; Perissodactyla; Equidae. The record is from RefSeq and is a predicted model, not a curated record.
UCUUCCUCACCAAAAACAAAAGAAACGGGGCUCCUUAGAUUCCAGAAUGAGGGAAAAAAUUAAAGGUAAGAUCAAUAAUCAGAGACCUCAAAUCUCAGAGUUCCCAGAACUAAGAAACAAAUCUUAAAUGCUGGGUCUAACAUUUUAGUACCCCCAAAGGGAAGCCCAGGCCACAGGCUCAUGCAGAGACUUCAUGUGUAUUACCUGCAAAAAGCUUUGAGGCAGAAGGUUAUUCUGCUAUGUCCUUGAAAGUAGGACUAAGGAAAUUCUGACCACUAGCCAUGAGUGAAAAUGAAUCAUUUUUGAGAAACUGGCAAUAUGAAACAGCUCUAUGCCAACUGCUGAAUCCAAAAUUUGUACUACUUAUGUGGUAUGAGAAUGGCAAGUGGAGAAAUUAAGAAAAUCCUAAUAUUAACUCAGUGAAGCCAGUGACAACAAUGAAGAAAUGCAUAUGAGCUGGUACUCAAUGGGUGUUGCUACAAGCGUGUGCCCCUGAAAUACUUCUGUGUCAGUCAGCUUGGAUUGCCAUAAUAGAAUACCACAGGUCGGGUAGCUUAAACAGCAGAAAUUUGUUUUCUCACAGUUCUGGAAGCUGGAAGUCCAAGAUCAAGGUGCUGGCAGGGUUGGCUUCUGGUGAGAUCUCUCUUCUUGACUUGCAGAUGGCUGCGUUCUCACUGUGUCCUCACAUGGGAUUUCCUCUGUGCACAUACUCCUGAUGUUUGUUCCUCUUCUCGUAAGGACAUUGGUCCCAUUGGAUUAGGGCCCCAACCUUAUGACAUCAUUUGACAUUAAUUACCUCUUUAAAGACCCAGUCUCCGAAUACAAUCACAUUGGGGAUUAGAACUUCACUAUAGAAAUUUUGAGGAGACAACUUAGUCCAUAACAACUUCCACGAAGGUGACUUGAGAGUAAAACAUUUAAGUCACCUAUGGAAACAUAACAGAAGAGAAUCGGCAAAUACGAAAAAGAAAAUUCACACUGUAGAACUAGAGAUGAUAGAAUUAUCCAGAGGGGACAUUACAAUAAAUGCGUGAAAGUUUAAAUAGAUAAAAGAAAAAAAAUAAUCACAGACAUCAGACUUGGAGAAGGACCCCAAUCUUGAACCAUGGGGCAUAGGGGCCCCAAGAUUUGAAGAUUGUGAGCAAAUACAUUGGUAAAGAUGUAUAUAAGUGUAAAUAAGCAUUAGUAACUUGGAAAUAGACCUGAUUAAAUUAACCAGAAAUGCAGAUAGAUGUAGAUAUAAAGAAAAGAAAAUAACUUACUACAGAAAACGUACAAGAGAAUUUUUGGAAAAGGAGGAUAGAGAGAAAUGAAAGAUAUUAUGGCUCAGAAUGUUCCUGGACUGAAAAAGAUAUCAGUCUUCAGAAUGAUUGAAUAUACCUCAUCCUUGACAGGAUGAUUAAAAACACAUCUACACCCAGAUCUACUGCAGUGAAACUUCAGAACUCACACAAACAGAAAAAAUCAUGAAAGCAAUCGAAGAUGAAAUAUCUAUUACAAUCAAAGGAAUGAUAAUUAGAAUUACAGACGAUGUGUUAAGUCAUGAUGAAGACAAGAAGUCUAAUGAAAUGAUACUUUUAAAGGGUGGAUGAAAAAUAUUUGCCAACCUAGAAUUCUACACUCGGCCAAAUUAUAAUUUGGGAGUGAAUCUAAAUUUUAAAAAUGCUUCUGAAAAAUACUCUGAGAACUAGAAAUUCAUAGCCUCGCAAUGGCAAAGAAAAACUGUUAGAGAGUGAAAAUCAGAGGAAAUGGAAUUCUCUCCUCCCAAAAUACGGGUGGAUGGUGAAGAAGUACUUUGAUAAAAAUAAAGGUAAAUGUAAGCAAAUUUGGACUGUAAAGAAUAACAUAAGUGAUAGAUAAAUAGAUAGAUGACAGAUAUUGCUAAUUUCCUGGUCAUUUAAGGCAAGAUAUUUUACAAGGCAAAAAGAAGACAAAUUAAUGUGGUAGGUUAGAGGAAGAAGUUUAGUGUGCAUAAGCUCUAAAGCCCUAUUUGGUUUGAGAGGAGAUUAGAUAUACUGAUUAUCUAUAAACUCUUAAAUAUAUAUGUUUAAAAUCUGACUGAACAUCGACUGAAAAUAAAACAAACAUGUAAUAUCCAGACAAAGAAAAGGAAAAGGAAGGAGGAAUAAGGAAGCCUGUGUGGAUCUAAUAGUAAGGUAAAAAUUUGGAUGUAAAGCAUAGGGAUCAACAAGAGGAUAAUAGUUUCUUCUGGGGAGCCAAGGAGUAGAAUUGGGAGGAUUACAAAGUGAGCUUCAAUUUUUUCCCAUAUAAGAUGUCGGUUGUAGAAAACAGAAUAAUCCAAUAAAGCAAAAUGUUUAAUGUGCAUUAAAUCUGGGGAUCCUCAAGAUUUGAUGGUUGUAACUAAUUGGUAUAUUUCUUUAUAUUUCAAAUACUUAAUUAUCAUAUUAACACGUUAAAAAAUGUACACUGGUAUCAGAUAAGACUGUGUUCUUAUCCCAUACCUCUUACUUACUAUGUAAUUCAGGUAAAGUCAUUCAGUUUCUUUAGGUUUCACUUGCUUAAUUUUUAAAUGUGUCCAAUAUUACAAUAUCCCCUACCUUCCAGGGUUGUUUUAACAACGUAAGGUGUAUGCCACAGUUCUUGGAGAAAAUGUGUCAAUAUAUAGUCACUGUUGAAAAUAAGGAGGCAGCAGAAGUAUGAAACCAAAGGAGGGAGGAGUAUUUAAAAAGGGAAAGCAGGUGACGUUUAUUUCACAUGCAAGCAAAAUGUUCAAAUUACUGAUGUGGACCAUUGGGUUUCAGUCUUACGAGGUCAUUGGCGAAGUUCACCUGAGUGGUUUGGGGAGAUGGGUGACAGCAGAAGAUGGUAGGCAUGGGUCAAAGAGGGGAGAGGACAGAUAAGCAAAUACUUGCAGCAUAUUGUUUGACACAAGGAGACAAGGAAAAAAAUCACGUACUUAUUUAUAGAAGCAAAAGAAAAAACAGGAGUUUUAAAAAUGGGAGACUGCAAAUGUGAACUAUUUUAAGUUGUUUGGUUGUGGGGAAAAAUAGGUCAGUAACGAGAGAUAGAGGGGCGUGUGCUCACGCGCACAUGAACGUGUGUGCAUGUUGUUAAUGGUAAGGGUUUUGCCCUGUUAAGAGACUGAAAGGAGAGGUCUGGUAGCAAUGGGGAAGGUGAGAGUAUAGGAACAAAAGUAGAGCACUGAUGGAUCAAUGUCCUAGAAGAGACAGGGUGUUGGAAUUGAGAACAUGUGUGGAAGAGUUGGCCGUAAGCAAGAGAGAAUCACUUGUUUGAGAUUAGAAGGAAGUUAAAUGUGAGCGCUGACAGUGUUAAGUGUCUACAUCUGAGGGCAGGUCAUUGAGGGAGUUUAUGACUCUGAACUUCAAAUUUGUCUGUAAAAGAUGUGAGGCAGUGUCCUCCACUGAGAAAGAAUGUGUGUAAUUUUUGUUAUUUUUAUUGUUUUUUGUUGUUUGUGUGUUUCGUCCCUAUCAAGUGUGAAGACUCAAGCAUUGAAAUACUCCAUGAGAAACCAAAUGAAGUGUUUACUGUCAUUAUCCCUAUUUGAUGAAGAGGAUACUGAGGCUCAUAGAGAAUUAAUAACUUGUCCAAGAUCGUCUAAUGCCAAGUAAUCGAGAGUGGAUGACCUGAAAGCACACACACCAGCCGGGACCAGCCUUUUGUUGAGGGAAAACUUACAGAGACAGAAGUAGCAGGGUAGCAAGGUAUGAUCAAGGGUGGCUAAAACCUUGAGGUCUUUCUCCUCGCAUUAGGAACAAGCACGACAAUUUCUCAAGUAAGCCAUAGAAGUCUUAUUUUCUACAAGACCCUUAACAUGAAAUAGUUUGAACACAAUGCUAAAGAAUUGUUCAUUUAUUCUUUCAGUGGACAUUUAUUGAAUACCUCCUGUUAACUAUAAACCAAUGUAUUUAUAUAUAGAUAUGGGUGGGGUAAUAAAGAUGGCUGAAGUUUGCUCUCUGACCUUGAGGAAGUCAUAGCCUGUAAGGGGAGAUAGAUACCCACAUCACUCAGUCUACUACCAUUUGCCAUAUGUGUAGACCUGUGGGAGCAGGAAGGAGAGUCAGUCUAAUUUGAUUUGGAAUGAGAAAUAGGGUGAAGACACACAUCACAAAAGAAGUAAUGUUUAACCGAACUUUGCAGGUUAAGUGGAGUUCAUCUGGAAGAUUAGGUGUCAUAGGAUUGUUUCUCCAAUAAAUAAUUUUCUAUUACAACCUUUUUAAUGAUUGCAUACUAUUCCAUCAUGUGGACAUAACACAAAUAGUUUAACAGAGUCCUUCUUUUUGGUCAUUAGGCUUACUCCAUUUUUUGGAAACUAUAAACAACAUUGAUAUAAAGAUUCCUUUAGCUAAAUCAUAGUACAUGCCCUUGAUUCUCUUCUUAGAAUAUAAUCCUAGAUGUGAUAUUACUGGUCAAAGGUCCAGCACAUGUUUAAAGCUUAAAUAUAUUUUCUCGAGCUAGUAGGAUUCUCAAGUAUAAGCGAGUAGGACUUUGAGUUCAGACAAACUUGAGUUUAAACUAUAAACAUUUUGAGGCAGCCUUGGUGUCCUAGUGGUUAAGUUUGGCACAUUACACUUUGGCAGCCCAGGUUCAGUUCGCAGGUGCAGAUCUAUACCACUUGUAUGUCAGUGGCCAUGCUGUGGCGGUAGCUCACAUACAAAAAGAGGAAGAUUGGCAGCGGAUGUUAGCCUAGGGCAAAUCUUCCUCAACAAAAUAAAUAAAUAAAAUAAAAUAUAAACAUUUCUUCUUUUGGUUAUUUGAUCUUAAACAAGUUGCCUAACCUUCAUUACUCUUAGUUUCUUUCUUUUUUUCAAAAAAGAUGAGGAUAACAAUACUUACCUUGAAGUGCUGCUUUAAAAACUAUAGUAGAGGUUAAAAAUUACUUGUUGAAUUCCCUUUGUAUUUUUGACAGUAGGUGCUAGAUAGCUGCUAAACUCUAGCACGAAAUUCAAGUGUUCUAAAUAUUUCAAGUUAGUGUUAUUAAUUAAUUUCUAACAGGAAAUGUGUACCGCCUCAAUAACUGCAUGGUGUAGUCAUACUAAAUUCAUCCUAUGGUCCAAAUUUCAAAAAUUCUGACUCAUUGUCCACAUAAGUAACUUUCAAAUUGCUGAAUUGUGCUUUGACAUUUGGUCUGAAACAAUAGAAAUGUUCUAGUAUUGGAUGAAGAGAUAGAAGCCUGGAAGAAAAUUCUUACCCUUCCGCUUAUUGCCUGUGUCACUUCAUCUCCCAGACCCUUAUUCCUAUCAUCUCAAAAAGGAACAUAGGGUUCCAUUUUCUUUGUGCUUCAAAGAAUCAAAUAAGUAACAUAAAUGAAACAGAUAGAUCUCUAACUUGUGAUUCUGAUAUAACCUAUUAUCCUUAUUGGUUUUUAAAUAUUCCAUGAAUCUUUUUACUUAUUGCAAAAGAGGAGACAUUAUGCAAAAUGUACGCUUCUCUCAUGCUUGUCAGUGUACUAUGAGUUUUCUGUAUUAUAUUGAUGUGGGGCAUUUUUGAGUUGAAGGAUCUGGAUUUAUUUUUGAACUUCUGUCAGCACUCCAUAAUUAACAUUACCCAGAAGAGAAAUGCUAUUUUGCCUCCUGCAUCAUCAACACAAGUGUCAGCAAAUAAGGAAGGCAUCAUCUUUACCAUUAUUACUGCUAAUGUACGAAGCAGAAAAGGACAGCUGGAUUUUCACACACUGAGCUAUUAGAAGCACUGGCAUUUAGUGAAAUCUGUUUUCAAUUUCUACCUACGUUUUUUGCUUUAAGAAUGUGUUUAAAGGGGAAAAUAUCAUUUUUAUCCCAAAGCUUAUUUUUAAACUCCUCAUUUGGGACAUUCACUGAUCUCAAAGUUGUUUAUCUCAAUGUCAUUUUUCCUCCUUGACAUAAAAAUGAAGUUAAUGUUGAUUGCUUAGUGGCUAUUUUACUUACUGGCAUUUACUACCCUAUUUUCUCUGUGCCCCAAAUUCUCUGUAACGUUUCAGUUUCUCUCUGGUCUCCAACUUUGCUAAAAUUUGUAAUGGCGAUGGAUAGAAAUAAUCUUUUAAAAUGAAGAGUUGUGAGGGCUAAAUCUUGCUGCAAUAAAGGAGCAGGGCUAGAGCUCAGAUGUUUGCUAUUUAUGAAAGUAAAAAUUCUGUAGCCUCCAUAGUUACAGUGUGCCAAAAUUAGGUAGUCUAAGGUAAUUUUGUUCAUUAAGGUUGAUAGUUUUUUUUAAAAUCACGUAAAUGUUGGGAUUGUGAAAUGGUACAGCCACUUUGCAAAGCAGUUUGGCAGUUCCCCAGAAUGUUAAACAUAGAGUUAUCAUAUCAUCCAGAAAUUCUGCUUGUAGGUGUAUACCCAAGAGAAUUGAACAUAUAUCUACACAAAAACUUGUACAUGAAUACUCAUAAUAGCCCCAGAGUGGAAACAAAACCAAUGUCCAUCACCUGAUGAAUGGAGAAAUGAAAUAUGAUACAUGAUAUGAUGGAAGAUCAUUUAACACUAAAAAGGAUGAGAUACUGAUAUACACUACAGGAUUGGUGAACUGUGAAAACAUUAUGGGCAGUGAAAGAAGGUAGACACAAAUGACCACGUUAUAUUAUUCCAUUUGUAUAAUGUCCAAAACAGGCAAAUCCACAGAAAUAAUAAGUAGAUUGGUGGUUUCCAGGGGUUAAAAGAAAGGGAGACUGGGGAGGGAUUGAUAAUGGGUAUGGGAUUUCUUUUUGAAGUAUUAAAACGUUCUAAAAUUAGAUAUUGAUGAUCAUUGUAUAACUCGGUGAAUAUACUAAAACUCACUAAAUUAUAUACUUUAAAAGAGUGAGUUUGGGGGGCCACCCCAAUGGCAUAGUGGUUGGGCUCAUGACUUUUGAUUUUGAUGCCAGGAGCGGACCUACGCGCUGCUCAUUGAGCCAUGCUGUGGCAGUAUCCCAUGAACCAAGUAGAGGGAGAUCAGCA